RNAcentral lists this ribosomal RNA (775 nucleotides) under uncultured Actinomycetales bacterium. RNAcentral's name for it is "bacterial SSU rRNA". It matches the Rfam family "Bacterial small subunit ribosomal RNA", at positions 8 to 796 of the family's 1533-position model. The record is from RNAcentral. Lineage: Bacteria; Bacillati; Actinomycetota; Actinomycetes; Actinomycetales.
AGAGUUUGAUCAUGGCUCAGGAUGAACGCUGGCGGCGUGCUUAACACAUGCAAGUCGAACGAUGAUCCCAGCUUGCUGGGGGAUUGGUGGCGAACGGGUGAGUAACACGUGAGUAACCUGCCCUUAACUCUGGGAUAAGCCUGGGAAACUGGGUCUAAUACCGGAUAUGACUCCUCAUCGCAUGGUGGGGGGUGGAAAGCUUUAUUGUGGUUUUGGAUGGACUCGCGGCCUAUCAGCUUGUUGGUGAGGUAAUGGCUCACCAAGGCGACGACGGGUAGCCGGCCUGAGAGGGUGACCGGCCACACUGGGACUGAGACACGGCCCAGACUCCUACGGGAGGCAGCAGUGGGGAAUAUUGCACAAUGGGCGAAAGCCUGACGCAGCGACGCCGCGUGGGGGAUGACGGCCUUCGGGUUGUAAACCUCUUUCAGCAGGGACGAAGCGAAAGUGACGGUACCUGCAGAAGAAGCACCGGCCAACUACGUGCCAGCAGCCGUGGUAAUACGUAGGGUGCAAGCGUUGUCCGGAAUUAUUGGGCGUAAAGAGCUCGUAGGCGGUUUGUUGCGUCGGCUGUGAAAUCCCGAGGCUCAACCUCGGGUCUGCAGUCGAUACGAGCAAACUAGAGUGUUGCAGGGGAGACUGGAAUUCCUGGUGUAGCGGUGAAAUGCGCAGAUAUCAGGAGGAACACCGGUGGCGAAGGCGGGUCUCUGGGCAACAACUGACGCUGAGGAGCGAAAGCGUGGGGAGCGAACAGGAUUAGAUACCCUAGUAGUCC